UAUGGGCGAGAGCCUGAACCAGCCAAGUAGCGUGAAGGAUGAAGGCUCUNCNGGUCGUAAACUUCUUUUAUAUGGGAAUAAAGUAUUCCACGUGUGGAAUUUUGUAUGUACCAUAUGAAUAAGGAUCGGCUAACUCCGUGCCAGCAGCCGCGGUAAUACGGAGGAUCCGAGCGUUAUCCGGAUUUAUUGGGUUUAAAGGGAGCGUAGAUGGAUGUUUAAGUCAGUUGUGAAAGUUUGCGGCUCAACCGUAAAAUUGCAGUUGAUACUGGGUGUCUUGAGUACAGUAGAGGCAGGCGGAAUUCGUGGUGUAGCGGUGAAAUGCUUAGAUAUCACGAAGAACUCCGAUUGCGAAGGCAGCUCACUAGACUGUUACUGACACUGAUGCUCGAAAGUGUGGGUAUCAAACAGGAUUAGAUACCCUGGUAGUCCAAGGGCGAAUUC
RNAcentral lists this ribosomal RNA (441 nucleotides) under uncultured bacterium. Its description in RNAcentral is "SSU rRNA". It matches the Rfam family "Bacterial small subunit ribosomal RNA", at positions 370 to 808 of the family's 1533-position model. The record is from RNAcentral.